GUGGGGAAUAUUGGUCAAUGGGCGCAAGCCUGAACCAGCCAUGCCGCGUGAAGGAAUAAGGCCCUAUGGGUCGUAAACUUCUUUUGUGGUGGAGCAAUAAGGUGUACGUGUACACCGAUGAGAGUACAUCACGAAUAAGCAUCGGCUAACUCCGUGCCAGCAGCCGCGGUAAUACGGAGGAUGCAAGCGUUAUCCGGAUUUAUUGGGUUUAAAGGGUGCGUAGGCUGUGGGGAAAGUCAGGGGUGAAAGCCCGGCGCUUAACGCCGGAACUGCCUUUGAUACUUCUCCGCUGGAAUACGGAUGCCGUGGGAGGAAUGAGUAGUGUAGCGGUGAAAUGCAUAGAUAUUACUCAGAACACCGAUUGCGAAGGCAUCUCACGAAUCCGUCAUUGACGCUGAGGCACGAAAGCGUGGGGAUCAAACAGG
This 425-nucleotide ribosomal RNA is filed under the name uncultured rumen bacterium. RNAcentral describes it as "bacterial SSU rRNA". It matches the Rfam family "Bacterial small subunit ribosomal RNA", at positions 354 to 776 of the family's 1533-position model. The record is from RNAcentral.